AUUGACUUGGACAAUAAAAUAAUUAUUUUAUGAUCUGAUCUCAAAUCAGGUAGGACUACCCGCUGAACUUAAGCAUAUCA
RNAcentral lists this ribosomal RNA (80 nucleotides) under Rhizoctonia solani. RNAcentral's name for it is "partial 28S ribosomal RNA". Lineage: Eukaryota; Fungi; Basidiomycota; Agaricomycetes; Cantharellales; Ceratobasidiaceae. The record is from RNAcentral.